CUACGGGAGGCUGCAGUGGGGAAUAUUGGGCAAUGGGCGCAAGCCUGACCCAGCAACGCCGCGUGAGGGAAGAAUGUCUUCGGAUUGUAAACCUCUGUCCUUGGGGACGAGAAAAAUGACGGUACCCAAGGAGGAAGCUCCGGCUAACUACGUGCCAGCAGCCGCGGUAAUACGUAGGGAGCGAGCGUUGUCCGGAAUUACUGGGCGUAAAGGGUGCGUAGGCGGCUAGGCAAGUCAGAUGUGAAAUACCCAGGCUUAACUUGGGGGGUGCAUUUGAAACUGCUUGGCUUGAGUGCAGGAGAGGAAAGCGGAAUUCCUAGUGUAGCGGUGAAAUGCGUUGAUAUUAGGAGGAACACCAGUGGCGAAGGCGGCUUUCUGGACUGCAACUGACGCUGAGGCACGAAAGCGUGGGGAGCAAACAGGAUUAGAUACCCUAGUAGUC
Molecule: ribosomal RNA, 442 nt
Filed under: uncultured bacterium
Lineage: Bacteria
Description: partial 16S ribosomal RNA
Rfam family: Bacterial small subunit ribosomal RNA
Source: RNAcentral